Molecule: ribosomal RNA, 1017 nt
Filed under: Salmonella enterica
Lineage: Bacteria; Pseudomonadati; Pseudomonadota; Gammaproteobacteria; Enterobacterales; Enterobacteriaceae
Description: partial 23S ribosomal RNA
Rfam family: Bacterial large subunit ribosomal RNA
Source: RNAcentral
AGACCCGAAACCCGGUGAUCUAGCCAUGGGCAGGUUGAAGGUUGGGUAACACUAACUGGAGGACCGAACCGACUAAUGUUGAAAAAUUAGCGGAUGACCUGUGGCUGGGGGUGAAAGGCCAAUCAAACCGGGAGAUAGCUGGUUCUCCCCGAAAGCUAUUUAGGUAGCGCCUCGUGAAUUCAUCUCCGGGGGUAGAGCACUGUUUCGGCUAGGGGGCCAUCCCGGCUUACCAACCCGAUGCAAACUGCGAAUACCGGAGAAUGUUAUCACGGGAGACACACGGCGGGUGCUAACGUCCGUCGUGAAGAGGGAAACAACCCAGACCGCCAGCUAAGGUCCCAAAGUCAUGGUUAAGUGGGAAACGAUGUGGGAAGGCCCAGACAGCCAGGAUGUUGGCUUAGAAGCAGCCAUCAUUUAAAGAAAGCGUAAUAGCUCACUGGUCGAGUCGGCCUGCGCGGAAGAUGUAACGGGGCUAAACCAUGCACCGAAGCUGCGGCAGCGACACUGUGUGUUGUUGGGUAGGGGAGCGUUCUGUAAGCCUGUGAAGGUGUGUCGUGAGGCAUGCUGGAGGUAUCAGAAGUGCGAAUGCUGACAUAAGUAACGAUAAAGCGGGUGAAAAGCCCGCUCGCCGGAAGACCAAGGGUUCCUGUCCAACGUUAAUCGGGGCAGGGUGAGUCGACCCCUAAGGCGAGGCCGAAAGGCGUAGUCGAUGGGAAACGGGUUAAUAUUCCCGUACUUGGUGUUACUGCGAAGGGGGGACGGAGAAGGCUAUGUUGGCCGGGCGACGGUUGUCCCGGUUUAAGCGUGUAGGUGUGUGUUCCAGGUAAAUCCGGUUCACUUUAACACUGAGGCGUGACGACGAGGCACUACGGUGCUGAAGCAACAAAUGCCCUGCUUCCAGGAAAAGCCUCUAAGCAUCAGGUAACAUCAAAUCGUACCCCAAACCGACACAGGUGGUCAGGUAGAGAAUACCAAGGCGCUUGAGAGAACUCGGGUGAAGGAACUAGGCAAAAUGGU